UUUCAAUGCAUGUGCUUGAGGUUGGUUUCAUUUACCACUGCACCCUUUUUUCUGCAGCCUUUUAGAUGGCUACAACAUUGCUUCUAGCCAACUCUCGAGAUUUUUCUAGUGGCUCACUAUUGCGUACUUUCUUGACUACAGUCAAUACGGUGAGGUAACUAUAUUCGCUAUUUUCUAGCAUUUUUACCAGUUGAAGGGCCCUAAUUUGGAGAAUUCUUCGAGGUUCUACUAUUUC
This 235-nucleotide long non-coding RNA is filed under the name Gossypium barbadense (sea-island cotton). RNAcentral describes it as "long non-coding RNA (GBAR_LNC016482)". The record is from RNAcentral. Lineage: Eukaryota; Viridiplantae; Streptophyta; Magnoliopsida; Malvales; Malvaceae.